Molecule: unclassified non-coding RNA, 332 nt
Filed under: soil metagenome
Description: partial contains 5.8S ribosomal RNA, internal transcribed spacer 2, and large subunit ribosomal RNA
Rfam family: 5.8S ribosomal RNA (bases 1-120)
Source: RNAcentral
GAUGAAGAACGCAGCGAAAUGCGAUACGUAAUGUGAAUUGCAGAUUUCAGUGAAUCAUCGGAUCUUUGAACGCACAUUGCGCCCGCUAGUAUUCUGGCGGGCAUGCCUGUUCGAGCGUCAUUUCAACCAUCAAGCCCUAGGCUUGCGUUGGAGCCCUGCGGCUGCCGCAGACUCCCAAAUCCAGUGGCGGGCUCGUCGUCGUACCGAGUGCAGUAAACAUCCUCGCUCAGGGAACGUGACGGGUUCUUGCCGUGAAACCCCCCACAUAUCAAGGUUGACCUCGGAUCAGGUAGGAAUACCCGCUGAACUUAAGCAUAUCAAUAAGCGGAGGA